Molecule: non-coding RNA, 45 nt
Organism: Erinaceus europaeus (western European hedgehog)
Lineage: Eukaryota; Metazoa; Chordata; Mammalia; Eulipotyphla; Erinaceidae
Source: Rfam
CCAAAGGCUCUUUUCAGAGCCACCCGUCUCUAAUGAAAUAGCUUG